This 148-nucleotide signal recognition particle RNA is filed under the name Pongo abelii (Sumatran orangutan). RNAcentral's name for it is "Metazoan signal recognition particle RNA (ENSPPYG00000039786.1)". It matches the Rfam family "Metazoan signal recognition particle RNA". From Rfam's summary of the family: The signal recognition particle (SRP) is a universally conserved ribonucleoprotein. It is involved in the co-translational targeting of proteins to membranes. The record is from Rfam by way of RNAcentral. Lineage: Eukaryota; Metazoa; Chordata; Mammalia; Primates; Hominidae.
GCCAGGCGUGGUGGUGCAUGCCUGUGGUCCCAGCUACCUGGGAGGCUGAGGUGGGAGGAUCGCUUGAGUCCAGGAGUUCAAGACUGCAGUGAGCCGUGAUCAUGCCACUGCACUCCAGCCUGGGCAACAGAGCAAGACUUCAUCUCAA